AGGCGGCAGCGGAAGGUGGGAGCGACGACUGCAAAACGGCAGCGAUGGGGUGGGUAGGCAGGCCGCUUUCAGCGCGCUUCUAACAAGGUGGAGAGAGGCGCUUCACUUCCCUACCGCCCUUACCGCCGCUCCGUCUUGUCUCCCACCGACUCACAGGGAGGCUUGCUGCUCCUCCGCGGCCGUUACAGAGAGCGGGGCUUCUGCGGCCGCUACCGUUUCCCUGGGGCUAGGUUGCUUCGCAGAAGGCUCUGGCCCUGAGUCCGAGGGGGACUGCGGGGUCCAGGGGCGAUGAAUGCUCCCGCAACCUCCGGAGCUUGUGCGCGUACUUCAGGGACCGGCACCACGUCACCGUCACCUCCUGAGUAGUGAGUUCCCCUCUGAUGAAACCACUGGUGUGUUUACUCACCAUCCCCACCAUUUUUUUUUCCCCAACCUGAUGGAAGGAAGUACAUAAUGGAGAGCAAGUUUUUAAAGCACGGUCGUGUCGUGUGAACUUGCUCUAGCCAAAUUAGGUUUAUAGCACUUUUUUUGGCUCUCAUUACCUCCAGUCCCCACAUAAACAAGAGUGACCAGCUGGGUCAUCCGCAAGACCGUUUGAAAUUAUUGUGGCUUGGGUGGAAACUUAAAGGAGUGAAGUAUCUGCUUUCCAGAAAAAUCGUUGUCAUUCAAAGUGAAAUUAAACUUGUUUUCUUUGCAAUAAUUCGCCUUUAUUUCCUUGUAUAUCUGUAAACUCUUCACUUUUUUGUAAUUACUAGACAAUUCGGACUUAAAAAGAGCCUCAGCAUGUGUAUUUUGGAAUUGUGUAGCUUCAUAAUGUGAAAAUUAUUCUUUUCUAUUUGAGUAAAGUACAGUUAAUUUGAAGUAAAUAAAAUUUCUAUUUCCAAAAAAAAAAAAAAAAAA
This 900-nucleotide long non-coding RNA is filed under the name Homo sapiens (human). Its description in RNAcentral is "progenitor renewal associated non-coding RNA, transcript variant 1 (PRANCR)". Lineage: Eukaryota; Metazoa; Chordata; Mammalia; Primates; Hominidae. The record is from RNAcentral.